UUUCAGUCUCAGAGAGAAGUAACUUAAACUCUGGGUCACCAAAAUGCAAAAUAAACAAUGUAAUCUGAUUUUCCCUUUAUGCAUCAAUAUUUACCUCACAAUUAAAAUUAAAAUGCAUUUUUCUUCAAUUUGAAAAUGAAAACAGCAUUUGAACUUUCAUCUUUAAAGACGUAACCUGCUGUACGGUGGACAGUAUUCAAAUGCAGUCGUCAGUGAGGAUGUCAGUCAUUCUCUGCAGCGGGACUUCAUGCACCUCGCUAAAGGGAAAACUAGCAGGUCUCGCUACUUCCUGUUGUGGCACUGAGCGUUGGUGCUGGUUCCUCGCCGUACUGGGCUGCAAAAACCUGGUUGAGACUGAGAGGAGAGAUGAAACCAAAGAUGAUUUUCUUCUUCAGUGGUUUGUGGCUCCUUGGAGGUCCUACUCUGCUCCCUGAGCUCCUUCCUCUUCAGCCGGCUCUCCUUCAGCUCUGGAAACACCGAGGUUAUAAGAAUCCAGCUCAAUGUUCUCCUGUGGGCCUGACUUCUGCCCCCUG
Molecule: long non-coding RNA, 533 nt
Organism: Thunnus maccoyii (southern bluefin tuna)
Lineage: Eukaryota; Metazoa; Chordata; Actinopteri; Scombriformes; Scombridae
Exons: 3
Source: RefSeq, a predicted model, not a curated record